RNAcentral lists this ribosomal RNA (254 nucleotides) under uncultured bacterium. RNAcentral describes it as "partial 16S ribosomal RNA". It matches the Rfam family "Bacterial small subunit ribosomal RNA", at positions 524 to 776 of the family's 1533-position model. The record is from RNAcentral.
UACGGGGGGAGCAAGCGUUGUUCGGAUUUACUGGGCGUAAAGGGCGGGUAGGCGGCCACCGCAAGUCGACUGUGAAAUCUCCGGGCUUAACCCGGAAAGGUCAGCCGAUACUGCGGGGCUAGAGUGCAGAAGGGGCAACUGGAAUUCUCGGUGUAGCGGUGAAAUGCGUAGAUAUACGGAGGAACACCUGCGGCGAAGGCGGGUAGCUGGGCCAACACUGACGCUGAGACGCGAAAGCUAGGGGAGCAAACGGG